This 549-nucleotide ribosomal RNA is filed under the name uncultured bacterium. Its description in RNAcentral is "bacterial SSU rRNA". It matches the Rfam family "Bacterial small subunit ribosomal RNA", at positions 355 to 896 of the family's 1533-position model. The record is from RNAcentral.
UAGGGAAUCUUCGGCAAUGGGGGCAACCCUGACCGAGCAACGCCGCGUGAGUGAAGAAGGUUUUCGGAUCGUAAAGCUCUGUUGUAAGUCAAGAACGAGUGUGAGAGUGGAAAGUUCACACUGUGACGGUAGCUUACCAGAAAGGGACGGCUAACUACGUGCCAGCAGCCGCGGUAAUACGUAGGUCCCGAGCGUUGUCCGGAUUUAUUGGGCGUAAAGCGAGCGCAGGCGGUUUGAUAAGUCUGAAGUUAAAGGCUGUGGCUCAACCAUAGUUCGCUUUGGAAACUGUCAAACUUGAGUGCAGAAGGGGAGAGUGGAAUUCCAUGUGUAGCGGUGAAAUGCGUAGAUAUAUGGAGGAACACCGGUGGCGAAAGCGGCUCUCUGGUCUGUAACUGACGCUGAGGCUCGAAAGCGUGGGGAGCGAACAGGAUUAGAUACCCUGGUAGUCCACGCCGUAACGAUGAGUGCUAGGUGUUGGAUCCUUUCCGGGAUUCAGUGCCGCAGCUAACGCAUUAAGCACUCCGCUUGGGGAGUACGACCGCAAGGUUG